UUACCUACGGGACGCAGCAGUGAGGAAUAUUGGUCAAUGGGCGCGAGCCUGAACCAGCCAAGUCGCGUGAGGGAAGACGGUCCUAUGGAUUGUAAACCUCUUUUGUCGGGGAGCAAAAGACGCCACGCGUGGCGUUCCGAGAGUACCCGAAGAAAAAGCAUCGGCUAACUCCGUGCCAGCAGCCGCGGUAAUACGGAAGGUCCGGGCGUUAUCCGGAUUUAUUGGGUUUAAAGGGAGCGUAGGCCGCAUGUCAAGCGUGCUGUGAAAUGUCCGGGCUCAACCCGGGCCUUGCAGCGCGAACUGGC
Molecule: ribosomal RNA, 305 nt
Filed under: uncultured bacterium
Lineage: Bacteria
Description: bacterial SSU rRNA
Rfam family: Bacterial small subunit ribosomal RNA
Source: RNAcentral